Molecule: transfer RNA, 72 nt
Filed under: Ovis aries (sheep)
Lineage: Eukaryota; Metazoa; Chordata; Mammalia; Artiodactyla; Bovidae
Rfam family: tRNA
About the family: Transfer RNA (tRNA) molecules are approximately 80 nucleotides in length.
Source: Rfam by way of RNAcentral
UCCCUGGUGGCUCAGACGGUAAAGCAUCUACCUAAAAUGCAGGAGACCCGGGUUCAAUCCCUGGGUUGGGAA